This is a long non-coding RNA of Peromyscus eremicus (cactus mouse), 404 nucleotides long. RefSeq lists it as uncharacterized. The transcript is spliced from 2 exons. The record is from RefSeq and is a predicted model, not a curated record. Lineage: Eukaryota; Metazoa; Chordata; Mammalia; Rodentia; Cricetidae.
GGCAUUUCAUUGGCAGAUAUUUUUGUGGCUUUUGGCAUCCCAAAGUUGUUACGUGUUUCUGUGUUAUGCAUUAUGACUAUCUGUGGAUCCUGUAAUGAUCCUUAUCUGUUGCAUAAAGAAGCUUCUUGAUGAGAGUUUCUUCAUCAGAACUCUGCUUGAGAAUCAAUCCAUCCUUCCAACCAAAAGCUACACUGGAUGACUUGUCAUCAGCAAUUUAACUCCAAAUCAAUUACAGAUUUUAGUAUAUCUCCACAAAAGAGAAAUGGAGUAGACAAUAGCUGUAGUAGUGUUGUGAACUGCAGGAGCAUGGCAUGCCAACCAAUGCUCAUGUAACUAUCUCUGUGUAGCGCCCUUCGAUACUAUGCAUGCCAGCCAGCAGAGAUUAAACUCCAAGUACAGUUGCA